Molecule: ribosomal RNA, 451 nt
Filed under: uncultured bacterium
Lineage: Bacteria
Description: partial 16S ribosomal RNA
Rfam family: Bacterial small subunit ribosomal RNA
Source: RNAcentral
GAUGAAUGCUGGCGGCGUGCCUAACACAUGCAAGUCGAGCGGCAGCGAGGGGUGCUUGCACCCUGUCGGCGAGCGGCGAACGGCUGAGUAACGCGUAGGAAUUUGCCCCAAAGUGAGGAAUAACUGCCCGAAAGGGUAGCUCAUGCCGCAUAUGGUCUUCGGAUUAAAGGAUUUAUCCGCUUUGGGAGAAGCCUGCGUUGGAUUAGGUUGUUGGUAGGGUAAUGGCCUACCAAGCCGACGAUCCAUAGCUGGUCUGAGAGGAUGAUCAGCCAGACUGGAACUGAGACACGGACCAGACUCCUACGGGAGGCAGCAGUGAGGAAUCUGCCACAAUGGGCGAAAGCCUGAUGGAGCAACGCCGCGUGAAGGAUGAAGGCCUUCGGGUUGUAAACUUCUUUUAUGAGUGAAGAAUAUGACGGUAACUCAUGAAUAAGCACCGGCUAACUACGUG